Molecule: RNA transcript, 3404 nt
Organism: Etheostoma cragini (Arkansas darter)
Lineage: Eukaryota; Metazoa; Chordata; Actinopteri; Perciformes; Percidae
Gene: fndc5a
Gene name: fibronectin type III domain containing 5a
Exons: 6
Source: RefSeq, a predicted model, not a curated record
CUUCUGGGGGCCUGGAGAAAGUCUGCAGACUAAAUGAUUACAGCUGGUAUUGUUGUGAUUGCCAGUCUCUGUUUGUAAUAUGACAAAUGAAUGGGAAAAGCCACAACUAUAGAACAAUAGAAACAAUUUUAAAAGGGUUACAUGCCUGUAGCCUAAGUACAGAAAAUCCUUCCUUUUGUCAACAUUGAUUGACUUCUACCUUACGAAUCCUUUAGCCUGGUUGUCUUGACUGUCCUGCAGCCUCACUCUCUUAUCGUAAAGAGAGGACAGUCCAGAGUCAGACGCUCAAAUACAAAGCCAGCACCUUUCUGUCUGCAGCUGAGCACCACCUCCAGCAGCAGCAGCAGCAGCAGACCGAGGAGGGUUUUGGAUCGCAGCUGAAAGAGCGACAACGCAUUUGAAGAGCGCCAGGCUCGAGAGCGUUCAAUAAUAAUGCCUCACUGGCUGGUUACUGGUUGCCGGUCGCUGGUUUCCGGUGGCUCGGGGGACAGUCGAGGCUUUUGAAUGAGCGGAGGUGUCGCUGGAGCGCUGUCCGAGGUGCUAAAACGCCGCCGACAGACCGGCCGCUGUCUCUUUUUCCAGUCGAGACGAUACGCAUGAACUGACGUGAACGCCGAGCAGCACAACGACGGGCACACCAGUAGGCUACGGCGGCUAACACAGCAUCCCCGGCCAGGGUAAAUGGGACCGCACGUCGCCCGAGAGUUAGAAAGAUGGAGAGAUUUAUUUCCCUGCUCGUCCUCAGCUGUCUCUGCGCCUCUCGAGUCACAGCGGAUAGCUUGUCGCCUCCUGUCAAUGUGACCAUCAAAGCAGUGAAAGCAAACUCUGCUGUGGUGACAUGGGACAUCCCAGAGGGAGACCCCGUUAUUGGCUUCGCCAUCACUCAGCAGAAGAAAGACGUGCGCAUGCUGCGAUUCAUCCAGGAAGUCAACACCACCACACGCUCCUGUGCAUUAUGGGACUUGGAGGAAGAGACAGACUACAUUGUGCACGUCCAGUCCAUCAGCAUGUCUGGGACGAGCCCGCUGAGCGAACCUUUGCGCUUUCGAACGCCGAAGGAGGCCGAGACUCAGGCCUCUAAGAGUAAAGACGAAGUGACGAUGGAAGAAGUGGGCCAGUCCACCCAGCUGAGGGCGGGGGAGCUCAUCAUCAUCGUGGUGGUACUUAUCAUGUGGGCAGGUGUGAUCGCUCUCUUCUGUCGCCAGUACGACAUCAUCAAAGACAACGAGCCCAACAACAACAAGGACAAAGCCAAAAACUCCUCCGAGUGCAGCACUCCUGAACAUCCGACAGGGGGGCUGUUGCGCAGUAAGGUAUAACCCACCCCCCUCCUCCUCCCCACCCCCCUCCGGGUGCCUCCCCCACAGCGGCGCCGGGCAGUUCCCCAAGAACAACAACAACAACAAUAGAAUGCCAUCUGUCAACAUCAUUGAGGUGUGACUGCCAGAACAUCUUCUCUUUAUCUAAAAGACUUUGUGUUCUCACAAGCAAGAAGGCCCCUUGUAUAGGCCCAUCUGCUCGUCAGGAUGAGGCUACAACUGUGGGCCCCCUCGGCAGCGCUCGCUCUCCUUUGGCACGGGGCCUGCCUCUGGGGGUCAGGCACGACCUGGCCGGAGCAGGUCUGAGGGCAGAGUCCGCAGCAGAGUGACUGCGGCGAGAGUUCAGAGGCUGCUCCGUGCUCAAUAACUACUGUACCAUGGGGCUGCAGAGAUUAGGGCCAAAUGGCUCCGGUGGUGGAGAAAAACCAACCCCAGGGACCAAAAAAGAUGAACUUUUCAUUUUCUCUCUCUGUCACCUGUUUCUUCUCACCGUCUUUCAGUGCACUAUAAACAACCACAAACCUGGACAUUUCCAAUUACUGGGUGGCUCUGAGAUGCAUCCACUUUGUCGAAAUCGUCUCCUGUACUUUAAUCUUCCACACCUUAUUUUCUUCAUAAUGUUUUAUACACUCUCUGAAUUGAAGGUAGACACUGUAGAUCAUUCAUGUGUAUUGCAGUUUUACUUAUUUUACUUUUAAAAAGCUGCCACCAGAGAAGUCCUGUUAUCCUUUUUUUUUUUUAGAUCCUCCCUCAGGCAAGGAAACUCCUGUGGGAAAUGUUUACAUUUUGGCUUCUCAUUCCUCUCUUCUGUCCCCCUCCCCCCCGCCCCCCUCAGGGAAUCCAGACUCCACCUGGCAAAUUUAGGAGCCAUUUCUUAGAUGUACUGUGAUGACGCCAUUGCAGCUUUAGAGGGAUGACUCGGCUCACCACUGGAACUGAAUCACCCAAUUUGUCAGAAAAAGCAAAAGUAAUUCACUAAUAUUGAACGGCAUCUCUGAUCACAUGUAUACAGUGAAGUAUGUAACCAGGCCAGCCGUGGUAUCCUUUAUGAUCACAUUUGUGUUUGUCGUCUAAUUUCUUUUAUGCUUCUAUUAUAGAUUUCUGAAAUGUUACUUUCCACAACCAGGAUGAGCCCUUUAGUAUUCCCUUGUGUCUUUCUAUUUGAGGGUGAUGAGUUUCAAAGCAUUAUGGAGCACAUUCAUCUAAUUAAGGGACUGGACUCUAUGGAUGUCUAUGGAGAAGUGGUUUCUACGGAGACACUGAAGAGAUCCCUUAUAUCAGCAAUAAGCACGGAAGCAAGGACUCAAACUCUGUAGCCUGUUCGUCCAAAACUUGACCUCCCGGCAUGCAACGUUCAGACAGACAAACAAACUGCAAAUAUUGAGGGAAUUAAUCCCUCUCCUGAACUUUCAGAGACAAGUCUUUCAGCGCUGUUGUAAAAAUUUAUGUUUCUGAUUAAGAGAUGGAAAAAAAAACUUUUUAUGGGCCCAACAUUCUUCAUGUUGACUUCUUUAUGACAUCCUGGACAGAUGUCACCAAGACAGAAGGGCUUCUAUCAAGACUUUUUCACAAAUCAGAGUGAACAUUUGCGUUGAGACUCCAUGUUGAGGAGACUGAGAAUAGCGAUAAGUGAUCAACUGUUGCCAUACGGCACUGUGCAUUGUAUACUGUACAAGGGAACUUGUCUGAAGAAAGCAAAUAGUGUGUUAGGGCUGAUUCAAACUCAGUAGUUCUGCCUUAAAAAUAAUUGUAUCUUAUGAUUUAUCUAAUAAGAUGGAAAAGCCCUGUAUCUCACAUUUGAGCCAUAUUCAUUAGCUUUCACGUAAUAUGUAACUGUGUGUGUGUGCAACGCAAAAGGAAACAUUACAGAUGACGUGUAAACCGAGCUGAGGAAAGAUUUAAAAUCUGGUUGACAGUGAAUGUGUAAAUACAUUUUAGAUUUUAUUCUGGUUUGGUGGCAUCAGCUUAGAGAGCCUUGAAAUAUGACUAAUGUGGAAAAUGUAUAGAAUCCUAAUGUAAUAGGAUACUGCUACUGGUGAUUUAUUUUGUUAAUACACUAAUGUUGUUAAAGUCUUUUUCAUAGCA